Long non-coding RNA from Octopus bimaculoides (California two-spot octopus), 903 nucleotides. RefSeq lists it as uncharacterized. NCBI's taxonomy places the organism in Eukaryota, Metazoa, Mollusca, Cephalopoda, Octopoda, Octopodidae. The record is from RefSeq and is a predicted model, not a curated record.
CUGACUUAUAACAGCCUCCAUGUGUGAUAGUCUAUUGUUGCAUCACUAACAAAUGAAAGAAUAUUGAAGACUGUUAAGCCUACCACCGAGAAAGGGAGAGGGGAGAGGAGAGAUAAGUGAGAAAGGGAAAAGAAGCAAUAAUAAAAUAAAAAAAAUAAAAAUAAAAGUCAAACGAAAAAGAAUGCAAAAAUGGUUUAUUUGACAACUGGAUGACAAGGAAUUGUAUUUCAGCAUGAAAAGAACUGGCAAAAAAUUAGGGAACAAGAAUGAAAGGAAUGAUGUUUUCAAACCAAGGGGGCUUGACUGUUCGUUGGAGCAACUACUAUGAGAUUUUUCAGAUCACAACCCGGUGGAAAUGAGCCCUUUCAGGAGGAAAACAGCUGUGGUGCACUUCAAGAACUACUUUUCAUUUUUGCAAAUCAGGCAUCCAUAUCUUCAGCACUAUUACUCCCUGAGAAAUUUCCACCACGAGGCUAUGGCAGACGACAUAUCCAUAGAGGAGACAAAUCCAGAACCAGAAUGAAAAAGAAUCAGAGUGGAGCAGUGGACGAAAGGCUUGACAGCGCCUAGCUUCGUGCAUCGAGGUCCGGGGAUAGAAUUCUUUACCAGAGACUUUUGUUUUCCUCCGUCGGGAACUGAUAAAAUAAGUACAAGUAAUAUAUAGUUUUGAGCUUUGUCUUUGAUCCAACAAGAAAACUUUUUAAGUGGUAAUCAUACCAAUUAAAAAUAGCAGCUGAAUGUCACUCAAAUCUCUCUGACUUAGAAACGAAUGCUACAUUGGUUUCAAUGUGAUUCGAGAAUAACUGGUUGCUGAAACAUUUGGCUGAUUUUAUCAGGACUGACCAGAGUUCAGAAGAUGAAUACCAAUACUUACAACAUGUAAGUUCCUUUUGCCAGUGUAAG